UACAGAGGUCUCGAGCGUUAGGCGGAAUCACUGGGCUUAAAGCGUGUGUAGGUGGAUGCCUAAGUACCUUGUGAAAUCCCACGGCUUAACCGUGGAACUGCUUGGUAUACUGGGUGUCUUGAGUCACUCAGGGGCGAGCGGAACUCAUGGUGUAGCGGUGAAAUGCGUAGAGAUCCGGAGGAACCCCAGAGGCGAAGGCGGUGCCCUGGCUCGCAACUGACGCUCAGACACGACAGCAUGGGGAGCGAACGGG
This 253-nucleotide ribosomal RNA is filed under the name uncultured bacterium. RNAcentral describes it as "partial 16S ribosomal RNA". It matches the Rfam family "Bacterial small subunit ribosomal RNA", at positions 524 to 776 of the family's 1533-position model. The record is from RNAcentral.